Molecule: long non-coding RNA, 1173 nt
Filed under: Equus caballus (horse)
Lineage: Eukaryota; Metazoa; Chordata; Mammalia; Perissodactyla; Equidae
Description: lncRNA (ENSECAG00000045442.1)
Source: RNAcentral
AGACCUACAGAAUCAGGAAUUCAGGAGGUGGGGCCUAGAACUCCGAGUUUUAACAAGUCCUCCAGGUGAUUCUGAUGCAUGCUCAAGUUUGGGAAAAGUAGAGAAGAGUCAUGCCUACAAAGGAAGGGUGGCUUCAGGGGAACACUGCAGCUCCUUCUAAUCCCUAAAAACCUAGGCUGGACUUUGGCUUCUGCUGGAGAUUGAUGUCUGUGCAUGAAGCUCAUGCCCAAAGAGAAAAGGGGCUGCGACAUGUUGGAGAACUGGUCCCAAUUCUUCACCCUUCUAUGUAUCCACACGCUAGCCAUGGCCUCCUUGUGGAUGGUGUAUACUUCUGCCCUGGCCUGGGACUUGUCCAUGUGAUUUGCUUCAGCCAAUGGCAUAUGAGUGGAAGUGGCAAUAUGCCAAUUCUGAGCCUAGAUCUACGAGACUUUGCCUGUUUUGGCUUGCUCUGUUAUGGAACAUUCCCCAGUUAGUCUGCUGGAAGGGAAAGGGCAACAGAAGUGCGAACCCACAGUGUGGACUAGAGCCAUUCUAGCUGCCGCAGCCUGAAUCAACCAGCCCACACACGACCAAGCCCAGCUGAGAUCAGCAGAGCCUGCCCAGGCGUCCUGCAGUUGUAUGAGAUAAAUAAUACGCACUGUUUUAAGCCACUUUGAUUCUCUGGUUCUUUGUUAUGCAGCAAUAGCUAAUCAAGACAAGCAGUUUCUAUCUCCCAGCUCUAGUUUGAAAAGUUCCAGGGAAGAGUGAUCUGACCUCACUUGUUUCAAAGGCCCAAAUCUGUCACCAGCCACUCAGAUAUCUUAAGAACAGGGUAACGGUGCUGGUUGUCACACAAAAGUGAGAACUUUCUACUCAGUAAUACACCUGUAUUUUUGUGUGUGUCGAAUUUAAAAUAUUCCAGUCAUCAAUCAUUUAAAACUAACAUAAAAAUUGAGAUUAGUUAAUACAGUAAAUAAUAAAACUAUGUGUAAUUAAAACUUCAUUAUGGCCAGAGAGCAUAGAAAAAGAAGAAGGAAAAGAAGAAGAUGCAAAACACAAUAUUUGCCCAAAAUCCAAGAAGGAGCAAUAUUUCCUUAGAUAAAAACAAUUAAAAAGUAUAUUUGAUAAUAAACAUAUUUUAAAAUCUAAGUAAGAAAGAAAUAAAAUUUUUGAAAAUAUCAUUUUACCCCAACU